Molecule: long non-coding RNA, 552 nt
Organism: Stomoxys calcitrans (stable fly)
Lineage: Eukaryota; Metazoa; Arthropoda; Insecta; Diptera; Muscidae
Exons: 3
Source: RefSeq, a predicted model, not a curated record
AGUCACUACCUUCAAUAAAAAGAAAAAAAAAAAAAAAAAGGAUACAUUGUGUAAGGUAUACUUCGUUGAAGUCGAACAUAUUAUAUAUACAUUUAUAUAAACGUGAACUGACUAAAGAAGUGAUUGUAUUUGGUUUAGAGGAAUUAUCUUGUUCCACGUGAUUAGUGUCCCAGUUAAAUAUUUCCUUAGGACUGGGAACCUAAUUUGAAUCCCCUCCAAUUUUCUGGAGAAAAUUUUAAGUUGGUCCUUAUUAAGAAUAUUUGGAGCACGUGACUACCCAUGGUAUUUGGUUUAGCUGAGGUUCCAUGAUUUUUGGGACUCAAAACAUCUUUCCAUACCGAUUGUUUUACGGCAAACAUUUUUUAUUGUUUGCUGGGAUUUUUUUUUUUUGAUAGAAUACACACUUAUUUGAUCGACAUUGCAAAUUCGGCCAAAGAGGUCAAUCAUCGAUCACCCAUAAUCAACGUGCCAUCAUAUCAACGAAGAAGAAAUCCAAAGAGCAGAAAAAACAACACUCGAAAGAAGCCCACAACGGUUUAUCGUGUCAACCAU